This 72-nucleotide transfer RNA is filed under the name Phrynosoma platyrhinos (Desert horned lizard). RNAcentral describes it as "tRNA-OTHER". Lineage: Eukaryota; Metazoa; Chordata; Lepidosauria; Squamata; Phrynosomatidae. The record is from RNAcentral.
GCCAGAGUGGCAUAGUGGUUUGAAUGUUGGAUUAUGAAUCUGGAGACCAGGGUUUGAAUCCCAGCUCGGAAA